This 67-nucleotide transfer RNA is filed under the name Adhemarius sexoculata. RNAcentral's name for it is "tRNA-Arg". Lineage: Eukaryota; Metazoa; Arthropoda; Insecta; Lepidoptera; Sphingidae. The record is from RNAcentral.
AAAUAAGAAGCAAAAUAUUGCAUUUAAUUUCGACUUAAAAUUAGAGUAUAAUAAUACUCCUUAUUUA